Molecule: transfer RNA, 73 nt
Filed under: Candidatus Uabimicrobium amorphum
Lineage: Bacteria; Pseudomonadati; Planctomycetota; Candidatus Uabimicrobiia; Candidatus Uabimicrobiales; Candidatus Uabimicrobiaceae
Also listed under: 1 other name
Description: Uabimicrobium amorphum tRNA
Rfam family: tRNA
About the family: Transfer RNA (tRNA) molecules are approximately 80 nucleotides in length. Their secondary structure includes four short double-helical elements and three loops (D, anti-codon, and T loops).
Source: Rfam by way of RNAcentral
UCCUCGAUAGCUCAGUUGGUAGAGCGCGCGGCUGUUAACCGCUAGGUCGUAGGUUCGAGUCCUACUCGGGGAG